GCCAGCAGCCAUAUCACCCUGUAACUCACAACUGGCUAGCUCACUGAAGCUAAGCAGGUGUGAGCCUGGUCAGUACCUGGAUGGGAGACCUCCUGGGAAAAACUAAGGUUGCUGCUGGAA
Molecule: ribosomal RNA, 120 nt
Organism: Lepisosteus oculatus (spotted gar)
Lineage: Eukaryota; Metazoa; Chordata; Actinopteri; Semionotiformes; Lepisosteidae
Source: Ensembl